Magnolia sinica is the source of this 357-nucleotide long non-coding RNA. RefSeq lists it as uncharacterized. The transcript has 2 exons. NCBI's taxonomy places the organism in Eukaryota, Viridiplantae, Streptophyta, Magnoliopsida, Magnoliales, Magnoliaceae. The record is from RefSeq and is a predicted model, not a curated record.
UAUACAAUAGAACUUAUAUAAGAUUGUAAAUAUUAACUAAUUUCUUCUUGUUAUUUUAUUUUGUAGGUUGUGACAACUAUGGAUUGAGCUAAAUGGAGGGAUCUCUCUCUCUCUCUCUUUUUGUUAUUUCUGAAAACAAAAAUAAUUGAUUUUGACAGUUGGUUGUGAUAGCUAAUGUUUGUUUCAUGUUAGUAGUUUUGCUUGACUAAUCUACAAAGAUUUAUAUUGUGAUUUGUUUCAGCUUUUCAUCUUCUUAUGCGUAACAGAAGUGGCUUGAUCCCAAUCUUCCGAACAUUGGGUACGUAGGCAGCCGUUCAUACUAGACCGUAUCGGUGCAGCCACAAUUUUUUUUUUUUU